AUGGCAAUAGCUGGAUUGUCGUCCAUUCUUGGUCUUGGACUUUGGUGCAUGAGCAACAACCUCCGCCCGUCCGAGGUUGAUUGGGUCAAAACUGGCGUUGUUUCUCCACUUGUGAGGACACAAAACGACUGUCAAUGUUGUUGGGCCAUGGCUGUCGUAGCCUCAGCCGAAGCCGCACACUAUCAAAACACCUCGCAGCUAAUCUCAUUGUCGGUUCAAGAACUCAUCGACUGUGACACAGAGAGAAAUGGGUGUGAGGGCGGCUCCGAUGAAUUGGAAAACUAUAGUGGAGGCAUAAUGGAUUACAAAGCCAUCGAAGGCGGGACAGGGUGGACGCAUGCCGUCCUGAUUGUUGGUUACGGCACAGAUUCAGCCGGCGUCAAGUAUUGGCGCUUCAAGAACUCGUGGGGGCCAGGCUGGGGCGAGGGAGGUUUUGGGAGGAUCCGCAGGCACGUUGACGAUGAGUGAGGGGCGUUGGGUAUUUUCAUGAAACAGGGGUACAUCCGGUGCUUGAGGACUGACGAAUCUUGCAUGCAUGGUUGGAUCUUUUGCUCGUAA
This 558-nucleotide ribosomal RNA is filed under the name Triticum aestivum (bread wheat). RNAcentral's name for it is "partial small subunit ribosomal RNA". The record is from RNAcentral. Lineage: Eukaryota; Viridiplantae; Streptophyta; Magnoliopsida; Poales; Poaceae.